AGAGCGAACGCUGGCGGCAGGCCUAACACAUGCAAGUCGAGCGCCCGUAGCAAUACGGGAGCGGCAGACGGGAGAGUAACACGUGGGAACGUACCCUUCAGUUCGGAAUAACCCAGGGAAACUUGGACUAAUACCGAAUACGUCCGUAAGGAGAAAGAUUUAUCGCUGAAGGAUCGGCCCGCGUCUGAUUAGCUUGUUGGUGAGGUAACGGCUCACCAAGGCGACGAUCAGUAGCUGGUCUGAGAGGAUGAUCAGCCUCACUGGGACUGAGACACGGCCCAGACUCCUACGGGAGGCAGCAGUGGGGAAUAUUGGACAAUGGGCGCAAGCCUGAUCCAGCCAUGCCGCGUGGAUGAUGAAGGCCCUAGGGUUGUAAAGUCCUUUCGACGGGAAGAUAAUGACGGUACCCGUAGAAGAAGCCCGGCUAACUUCGCGCCAGCAGCCGC
Molecule: ribosomal RNA, 446 nt
Filed under: uncultured bacterium
Lineage: Bacteria
Description: SSU rRNA
Rfam family: Bacterial small subunit ribosomal RNA
Source: RNAcentral